Molecule: ribosomal RNA, 254 nt
Filed under: uncultured bacterium
Lineage: Bacteria
Description: partial 16S ribosomal RNA
Rfam family: Bacterial small subunit ribosomal RNA
Source: RNAcentral
UACGGAGGGUGCAAGCGUUAUCCGGAUUCACUGGGUUUAAAGGGUGCGUAGGAGGGCAGGGAAGUCCGGUGGUGAAAUCCUAGAGCUUAACUCUAGAACUGCCGUGGAUACUCUCUGUCUUGAAUCCCGUGGAGAUGAGCGGAAUAUGUCAUGUAGCGGUGAAAUGCUUAGAUAUGACAUAGAACACCAAUUGCGAAGGCAGCUCGUUACACGAAGAUUGACUCUGAGGCACGAAAGCGUGGGGAUCAAACAGG